UAACUAUUUCAUGUGUGUAUGUAUGCACAUAUAUACGCAUGCAUAUACACACGUUGUCGCUAUAUCACAAUUUCACAUUGAAGUUCAUUCAUGUUUUUUACACCUAUAUAGUGUGUGUACAUAGAAUGUGUGUGUGUGUGUGUGUGUAUGCAUGUAAAUAUUGUGUGCAUAUGGAAGCUUUUGGGUGUGUGAGGUGUUUGUGUGUGUGUGUAAAAUGCUUUUAUUAAAUACAUCACUUGAAAUAAUAUAUCACAUAGACGGACGUGUGCAUGUGUGUAUGUGUUUGGAUUUGUGUGUAUGUGUGUGCAUGUGUGUAUAUGUGCGUAUAUGACUGUAUGUGUGUUUGG
This is a long non-coding RNA of Octopus sinensis (East Asian common octopus), 347 nucleotides long. RefSeq lists it as uncharacterized. Lineage: Eukaryota; Metazoa; Mollusca; Cephalopoda; Octopoda; Octopodidae. The transcript has 3 exons. The record is from RefSeq and is a predicted model, not a curated record.